Burkholderia sp. is the source of this 151-nucleotide non-coding RNA. The record is from Rfam. NCBI's taxonomy places the organism in Bacteria, Pseudomonadati, Pseudomonadota, Betaproteobacteria, Burkholderiales, Burkholderiaceae.
CCUGCUGUGCGACCAGCAGUUGCCUACCCGAACGUGCGCGAUUGGUAACGAUCGGGUGCGAAGCUUCGGGGACAACGAACCUGCCUGAAUGGCGAUCCACCUUGGUGACAAGGAAGGGAUCGACACUGCCAGCAGCCGUGCGGUGUGGGGG